Non-coding RNA from Mycena latifolia, 92 nucleotides. The record is from the annotation of a GenBank genome assembly. NCBI's taxonomy places the organism in Eukaryota, Fungi, Basidiomycota, Agaricomycetes, Agaricales, Mycenaceae.
GGCCUGGUGGUGUAAUGGUAACACACCUGUUUCCAUUGUAAUUUCGUGGCUGCUUUAGCAGGAGAUUCCUUGUUCGACUCAAGGUCAGGCCA